UUAAGGAAGCGAUUGAGAUGGUGAAAGCUGAACCACGAUCGCAAAUCACGCUAAAACACCCAAAAAUCCGAAACCCUACCCAAUCGUAUAACGAAGCGAUUGAGAUGGAGAAAGCGCGAGAGAGAAAUCACCGUGAAAAACACGGCCGGGAGGAGGGAGAAAAAUAAGCUGCUUCCUUCUCUACAGUUAGGAAAUUUCCUUGGCCAAACAAACAGAAAAUAAGGGUAAAAUAGUCAUAUCCUAUGU
This 246-nucleotide long non-coding RNA is filed under the name Erythranthe guttata (spotted monkey flower). RNAcentral's name for it is "long non-coding RNA (EGUT_LNC002077)". The record is from RNAcentral. Lineage: Eukaryota; Viridiplantae; Streptophyta; Magnoliopsida; Lamiales; Phrymaceae.